Felis catus (domestic cat) is the source of this 1167-nucleotide long non-coding RNA. RefSeq lists it as uncharacterized. Lineage: Eukaryota; Metazoa; Chordata; Mammalia; Carnivora; Felidae. The transcript has 4 exons. The record is from RefSeq and is a predicted model, not a curated record.
UCCCAAGCAGGCUGGACAUGGGACUCAGUCCCAUGAACUGUGAUUGUGACCUGAGCCGAGAUCAAAAGUCAGAGGCUUAACCGUCUGGGCCACCCAGGCACCUCUCAAGAAGUUUUAUGAUGCAAGCUGUGAUGGAAAACACUAUGACCCUGUAACUGCCAGUAAGGAAGAACUUCAGCAGCUUCCUCCCCUGUUGUUCCAGCUCUGAGCAAACCCAGGAAACCUCUCAGCUCUAGCCAUGCAGCUCUGCUGAGGCCCAUUGCAACACUCAGAACUACCGCAUCCCCUGAGGCUGGCUGUGUGGUAUGAAAGGAUCCUGCUGCAGGCAACACGGAUGGCAAGCAGUUGAAUUGAUGCAGCAGCCAGGAAGAGUUCAUUCUCAGAUCUUUACUGUGAUAGCUUGGUGGGGAAUUUGGAAGUAAAACCCAUGGAAGUUGAAGGACUCCCUAUUCUGCAGUCCCCGGGUUUUUCUCACUCUCAUGGUACUCCACACUCAGCUUCUGGUACAAGGAAGUAUCACCUCUAUGAAAAUAAAGUGAGAAGUCAUAAAGCAACAUCUGGAAGAAUGAUAGCAGACCAAAGAUUUAUAACAUCCUAUUGAGAUGCAAGCAUUCCAGUGAAAGUGGAGAAACUAACAGAUACAACAUUGAGUGCACAGAAUGAUCUCAAUUUCCUACUCAAUAAUGACAGAAGAAAGAAGACUAAAUUUGUCAGUACAAAAUGUGUGCCCAAAAUAUGUACUGGCCCAACAAUGUGACCUUUUUGCUUGCUGUGGGAAAUAUAUUCUGAUUUUCCAGAUGGAUGCCUUAGAAUUUGUAAGCUUGAUGAUAUUAAAAUUUCAGAGUAUUCUACAUUCUCUAUUUACUCAGAUUCUACUCUCCCCAAAUAAAUGUUUGUUUGCAAAUUGACUGGCCAUGAAGAUACUCACAAAGAGAAAAUUUUCCAGCAGAAAAACUUGUGUCCAGAUUUCCUUUGGAGUUAUAACUUUGCAGUUCUUGAAUAUGGAUAAUUUGGCAUAUGACUUAUAUGUCAAUCCAGAAUAUUUUUUAAAAGCAAAUCCCUCCCUAAGGAACAGAAAUAUUCUUAGUUUGUGAGAAAAUUCAGUGUCUAAAUGAUGUAGGGCAAAACUUUGGACUGUGAAAUACUUACUGAUGGAUAUGAGGCUUC